GUGUAGGGGUAAAAUCCGUAGAGAUCACUAGGAAUACCGAAAGCGAAGGCGAUCUGCUGGUACAUUACUGACGCUAAGAUACGAAAGCGUGGGGAGCAAACAGGAUUAGAUACCCUGGUAGUCCACGCCCUAAACGAUGAAUGCUAGUCGUCGGAAAGCUUGUCUUUUCGGUGAUGCAGUUAACACAUUAAGCAUUCCGCCUGGGGAGUACGGUCGCAAGAUUAAAACUCAAAGGAAUAGACGGGGACCCGCACAAGUGGUGGAGCAUGUGGUUUAAUUCGAAGAUACGCGAAGAACCUUACCUAGGCUUGACAUACCAAGAAUCUUGUAGAGAUACAGGAGUGUUAGCUUGCUAGAAUUUGGAUACAGGUGCUGCACGGCUGUCGUCAGCUCGUGUCGUGAGAUGUUGGGUUAAGUCCCGCAACGAGCGCAACCCUCGUCGUUAGUUGCUAACAGUUCGGCUGAGCACUCUAGCGAGACUGCCUUCGCAAGGAGGAGGAAGGUGAGGACGACGUCAAGUCAUCAUGGCCCUUAUGCCUAGGGCGACACACGUGCUACAAUGGGGCGUACAGAGAGCUGCGAUACCGCGAGGUGGAGCCAAUCUCUAAAGCGUCUCUCAGUUCGGAUAACACUCUGCAACUCGAGUGUUUGAAGCUGGAAUCAAUAGUAAUCGCGGAUCAGCCAUGCCGCGGUGAAUACGUUCCCGGGUCUUGUACUCACCGCCCGUCACACCAUGGGAGUUGAUUUC
This 748-nucleotide ribosomal RNA is filed under the name uncultured bacterium. Its description in RNAcentral is "bacterial SSU rRNA". It matches the Rfam family "Bacterial small subunit ribosomal RNA", at positions 673 to 1418 of the family's 1533-position model. The record is from RNAcentral.